UCUGUAAAAUAGUGUAUGAAUAAUUAAUGAGGACUUAUUUGGGUGUGUAUAUUGUCUAGAAGACAAUAUUUGUAUUCAAACUCACAGUUGUAUUGUCGUAUUCUACACGACAUCUGUAUUGUCAAAGUUGUAGUUUGCUUUCUAUACCAUGUAUUUUGGCGACUCAGAAUGGGUGUUGUAUACCUAUUUUGGGGGCGUCACAUUAUCCUUCUACUUUUAAGAUCGAUAAAAGUUGUCAAUUAAGCCUGCCAUGUCACAACAAAUUGGUCAAGUAUGUAAUAGGUUUCUUAAACUUAAGGGAAUUUUGUACCUUUAGGAC
Molecule: long non-coding RNA, 319 nt
Filed under: Panax ginseng (ginseng)
Lineage: Eukaryota; Viridiplantae; Streptophyta; Magnoliopsida; Apiales; Araliaceae
Description: long non-coding RNA (PGIN_LNC001576)
Source: RNAcentral